This 374-nucleotide long non-coding RNA is filed under the name Nicotiana tabacum (common tobacco). RNAcentral describes it as "long non-coding RNA (NTAB_LNC016010)". The record is from RNAcentral. Lineage: Eukaryota; Viridiplantae; Streptophyta; Magnoliopsida; Solanales; Solanaceae.
UUAAAACUCUAAUGCUGGCUGAAAGGGAAAAGUUCAGUUUAGGGUUUAAAACCCUAAUGCUGACUAAAAGGAAAAUUCAGUUUAGGGUUUAAAACCCUAAUGAUGAUUGCAUGGAAAAAGCUCAGUUUAGAGUUUAAAACUCUAAUGCUGGCUGAAAGGAAAAAGUUCAGUUUAGGGUUUAAAAUCCUAAUGCUGACUAAAAGGAAAAUUCAGUUUAGGGUUUAAAACCCUAAUGCUGAUUGCAUGGAAAAGGCUCAGUUUAAAGUUUAAAACUCUAAUGCUGGCUGAAAGGAAAAAGUUCAGUUUAGGGUUUAAAACCCUAAUGCUGAUGGCAUGAAAAAGCUCAGUUUAGAGUUUAAAACUCUAAUGCCGGC